AUGCCGGCGGACGCGAAGAUCCGGUGGGGGGAGCUCGAGGAGGACGACGGGGGCGACCUCGACUUCCUUCUCCCGCCGCGGGUGGUCAUCGGGCCCGACGAGAACGGCUUCAAGAAGACGAUCGAGUACCGCUUCGACGACGACGGCAACAAGGUCAAGGUCACCACCACCACCCGCGUCCGCAAGCUCGCCCGCGCGCGCCUCUCCAAGGCCGCCGUCGAGCGCCGCAACUGGGCCAAGUUCGGCGACGCCGCCAGCGGCGACGACGCCUCCGCGCGCCUCACCGUCGUCUCCACCGAGGAGAUCCUCCUCGAGCGCCCGCGCGCCCCAGGGAGCAAAGCUGAUGAACCAAGUGCUUCUGGUGACCCACUGGCAAUGGCAAGCAAGGGAGGUGCUGUUCUCAUGGUUUGCAGAACCUGUGGUAAGAAGGGUGACCACUGGACCUCAAAGUGCCCCUACAAGGACCUCGCUCCACCAACUGAUGCAUCGGACAUGCCUCCUACUUCUGACGGCCCUGCAGCACUGAGUGGCCCUGCCAAGGGCUCAUACGUUGCUCCAAGGCUGAGGGCUGGUGCUGUUCAUACCGAUGCUGGGCACGACAUGAGGCGCAGGAACGAUGAGAACUCUGUCCGUGUUACCAAUCUGUCGGAGGACACCCGCGAGCCCGACCUCCUUGAGCUGUUCCGCACGUUUGGCCCGGUCAGCCGUGUCUACGUUGCGGUGGAUCAGAAGACUGGAAUGAGCAGGGGCUUUGGGUUCGUCAACUUCGUUCACAGGGAGGACGCUGAGAAGGCCAUCAGCAAGCUCAAUGGGUAUGGUUAUGAUAACCUCAUCCUCCAUGUGGAGAUGGCUGCACCUAGGCCUACUUAG
This 870-nucleotide ribosomal RNA is filed under the name Triticum aestivum (bread wheat). RNAcentral describes it as "partial small subunit ribosomal RNA". Lineage: Eukaryota; Viridiplantae; Streptophyta; Magnoliopsida; Poales; Poaceae. The record is from RNAcentral.